This 253-nucleotide ribosomal RNA is filed under the name uncultured bacterium. Its description in RNAcentral is "partial 16S ribosomal RNA". It matches the Rfam family "Bacterial small subunit ribosomal RNA", at positions 524 to 776 of the family's 1533-position model. The record is from RNAcentral.
UACAGAGGAUGCAAGCGUUAUCCGGAAUUACUGGGCGUAAAGCGCACGCAGGCGGUUCGCCAAGUUUGGCGUGACAGUUGUCGGCUCAACCGACAAAGGACUUCAAAAACUGGUGAACUUGAGGACGAGAGAGGAACAUGGAACUCCAGGUGUAGUAGUGAAAUGCGUAGAUAUCUGGAAGAACACCAAUGGCGAAGGCAAUGUUCUGGCUCGUUUCUGACGCUCAGGUGCGAAAGCCAGGGGAGCGAACGGG